AUUGAACGCUGGCGGCAUGCCUUACACAUGCAAGUCGAACGGUAACGGGCCUUCGGGUGCCGACGAGUGGCGCACGGGUGAGUAAUACAUCGGAACGUGCCCGAUCGUGGGGGAUAACGAGGCGAAAGCUUUGCUAAUACCGCAUACGAACUACGGUUGAAAGCAGGGGACCGCAAGGCCUUGCUCGGACGGUGCGGCCGAUGGCAGAUUAGGUAGUUGGUGGGAUAAAAGCUUACCAAGCCGACGAGCUGUAGCUGGUCUGAGAGGAUGAUCAGCCACACUGGGACUGGGACACGGCCCAGACUCCUACGGGAGGCAGCAGUGGGGAAUUUUGGACAAUGGGCGCAAGCCUGAUCCAGCCAUGCCGCGUGCAGGAUGAAGGCCUUCGGGUUGUAAACUGCUUUUGUACGGAACGAAAAGCCUUCUUUUAAUACAGGAGGGUCAUGACGGUACCGUAAGAAUAAGCACCGGCUAACUACGUG
This 482-nucleotide ribosomal RNA is filed under the name uncultured bacterium. RNAcentral describes it as "partial 16S ribosomal RNA". It matches the Rfam family "Bacterial small subunit ribosomal RNA", at positions 30 to 507 of the family's 1533-position model. The record is from RNAcentral.